Manis pentadactyla (Chinese pangolin) is the source of this 3906-nucleotide long non-coding RNA. RefSeq lists it as uncharacterized. The transcript is spliced from 3 exons. NCBI's taxonomy places the organism in Eukaryota, Metazoa, Chordata, Mammalia, Pholidota, Manidae. The record is from RefSeq and is a predicted model, not a curated record.
GUGUUAUUUCCUCAGGUCCCAGGAAUGUAACGCAAAGCCUGGCCCAUUGUGAGUGUGCAACAAGAGCGUUGCGAGUUCAGUUGACCUCAAAGUGAGUAGGAGAGCUGAGAGUCGAGCCAAAGUCUUGAUCCACAGACAGAAUUCCUGGACAAAGCGUUGGAUCUGCCUGUUAUUCAAAAUCUGUCAUUCCUGUGGACAUGGGACCUGUGCCGUAUUUAGGAGAACCUGUAGAGAGCUUCACAAUCCGUGAGACAGAAAUAGAUUACAAGCAGGACAAAAGAAAAAGAAAGUCCCUGGACCACUAGCCCUCACUGAGGUGGCUGAUCUUUACCCCAGUGUGACACAGAUGUUGUCACUGGCCGUGUGAGGACCAGCGCCCUACAUAUAACCUGAAGCAAAGCACACUGAGCGGUAACGAGAAGAGAAAAGCGAUUGCAAGUGUGAGUUGGUGGAACUGCGCAAUCUUCAUUUAGCUAAAAAGGGUAUUGCGUGCGCCCAACCUCUGGAUAAAAAGAGACAGGCUUAUCGCCAGCCAGGAAAACAGCAGCCCGGCCUGAUAGCUCUGACUCGAGGCCUUGUUUAAAAGCUAUGAGUCAGUGCAGGGCAGCCGGCAGCCCAGGCCUUCUGAGGGCCUUCCAAGCCGGCCAUUCAGCCUCUCACGUCCAGGUUGCGUGCCUCAUGCCCAUUAUUUCUGGGAAGUCCAUCAGUGUCAGCCUUAUUUUCUUGCAAACAUUCAUCUUCAUUUCCAAGUAAGUGAAUGAGGAUUUCAGUGGAAGCACUGUCCACGGAGUAGAGCGAACAGUUCAAUCAAAACGACAGCUGAAGAAACUGCUGGAAGAAUGUGAAUUCUAGCAUAGGGGCCUUAGUGUGUUACUGUGGACCGGAUGCCUGUGUGCAGUCGCUGCACUUCUGUAGCUGUGCGAUUUAUUUUCACGGUGAGAAUGAAAAUACCCACAAGUGUAAACAGGGACCUUCUAACCUACAUGCGUUAUAAUUAAGUGGAUAGUUUUAUGUUCAUUCUUUCCCUUCUUAUGACUUCUUAUGACUGAUUUUCUUUAUUCCAUCUUAUCUCAUCAUAUAACUAAAUCCCAAGACUUAUUUUGUAUCACUUCUUUACUCAACAAUCUAUAGUUUAAUAUAAGGUUAAUCAAGAGGCAGCUUGCCAGGGACCAAGUGUAAGUAACAUUGUAUUUCUGUCAACAACAACACAAAUGUGAGAAUAAAUGGCAAUUGCCAGUAUGCAGACCCAAUGGGGAUCAUGGCCCAGUGGGGAAAACCAUCUCCCUGCUGGCAACCCUGAUCCACUGUGGGGCCAGUCCCUGACUACCAGGCUCAGAAAGAGGCUAAGUUGGAAAUCCAGAUUUUUAAGUGAAUUCAAUUGACUUUUAAAAGCUGGCAACUAAUUCAAAAAAUGGUAAACACCGUGAGGGCCAGUAGCCAGUUUGCAAGCUGUUUCUGGCCCAUGGUCUGCCAAUGGGCAACCUCUAAUUUGAACUCUAAAGCUCUAAUGGCGUCCUGUAUUUCACUUUAACUUAAACAGAAAUGAUCCUCAUUUUCUGUUACCUCCUGCCAAUAGAAAAUUUUGCAAUAAACAGUUUGAAUAAAUAGGUCAAGUAAUUAUAAGUAAUUUGAUUCUAACUAAUUAUUGUCAUUAUUUUAUAGGUGAGAAAAGAUGCUUAGAAAAAUGACAUGCUUAGACCCCAAAGCUCAAAGCUGAUAGAACUUGUACUUUCUAAAUACAAAUCUUGUGUUCUUUCCAACCACUGUGUUAUGCACCAAAUUGGCUCCUCUCCCCCAUCCAAUUCAUAUGUUGAAGUGUUAAGGCUCCAGUGUGAGGAUAUUUGGAGACAGGUCCCUUAAAUAAGGAUAAUUAAGGUUAUGUGAGGUCUCACACAGGUGGCCCUAAUCUGAUAGGACUGACGGCCUUGUAAGAAGAGGGAGAGACAUUGGGGCAUGUGCACAUGGACAGAAGGACACGGCAAGUAGGCGGAUGUCUGCAAGCCCCAGAGAAAGGCCUCAGGAGAAACCCGCUCUGGAAGCACCUUGAUCUUGGAUUGCAGCCUCCAGAACUUUGAGAAAGUAAAGUUAACAGCAAAAAAAGAAGAGAGAGGUAACAUCCAUAGCCUCCUACUCGAAUGGCCAGCCACUGAUUCCUUCCUAGUUUCUGCAGUCUGAGGACAUUCCGACUGUCUAUCACGAUAAGCUCAAAAUAUUUGCAUGACAAGAAACUGAUUCCAUUAGCAACUGGAUGUGUGAUUUCAUGCACCGUGUGAUGGGUAUGUACCUAUGUUUGUUGAAUGAAUGGAUGCUGCUAAAUACUUGAGUGUUUACAAAUGUCAGUAUAGUUAAAAUACUUCCCUUUUCUUUUGAAUGACAAAUAUUGAGUUGGUGUAGAUAUAAAUAUUGAAAUCUUUAAAAAGUCAUGAGAAAAAUGCCAUAUUUCUCUUAAAAAAUACUGUGUUGACACAAAUCUUCAUUUUUUCCUACUUAAAAUGUGAAAGAGGUUUUAUCUAGACUUCGUAUUGUAUUAAAUUUUACCUAAAGAUUAUAUUUUUCCAUUAUUAUAUGUAUUAUUAUAUUAUAAAUUAUUUAGAAAAUUAAAUAACUAACAUGCUCCAAGGUAUGAAACACAGAAAACAACAUAAUGAAUGUUAUUCAGGAUGACUAUUCAAGAAAAUGCUGUUAUUUUAAUUAGAAGUUAAAUUUCAGUAAUGGGUCUCUUCCAGACUUUUCAGAAUGAGGAGACUGAGUAAAACAGUUGAAAAAUUAUCCGAUUUGCAAAAAAUCUUAUGGCAUGGACCUGGGUGAAAUGAUCAUAUUACUAUAAAACAUGAGGGAAAAAAUGAGGAUUAAUACAUUAAAAUAUGUCCUUCAUACACUACUUGUAAAUAAAAAUGGCCUAUUUUCAAAUAUGGAAGUGAUCAGUUAUUUAGAAGAGUAAAAAUCUGUUUGUUACCUUAACAUUAAAAUUCCUGUAAAAUUAUUUAAUAAUGAAUAAGGGACAUUCGUUUCCAAGUUAUCUAAAUAUAGGCUAGGUUUGCUGUAUGUACAUGACUGACAUGAAGAACUGGAAAGGGGGGAAAAAGAAGAAAAUAUUUUAAUUAUAACAGGUGUUUAACGUGCACCUUGGGAGACCUUCGUGAUGGACAUGCACAAUGAAUCCUUCAGCAGUGAGGUUCUGCUCGGUUUUCCUUACCUGUUCACUGGUUUAUACCCACACAGAAAGGAUGCACCUGGUUGAAAGAAUAAAGGUCAACAGACUUUUCCUGCAAAAAGAGAGCUAGUAGCUCUUUAAGCGCUGUGGUGUGGGGAUAUUUGUUGCAACUACCCAAAUCUGCUGCUGUGGUACCAAAGGAGCUGUGGGCGAUACAUAAAUGUGUGAGUGAAGGGUGUUUACAAUAUCAGGUGGCAAGCCAGAUUUGGCCCACAGGCCGUAAUUUCUCAAUCCUUCUUCAAGAAUCUUUACUCUCUGUCAUCAGGAGGUGGAGACCAAAUCUUUCCACUCAGAUCGGGAUGGAUCUCUGUCUCAUUUAUAAAAGAAAAUCAGUUUUCUGAUCUGGCCAUCUGCAAGGCUAGAUCUGAAAAGGCAAUGAAACUUCUACUUUGCUUUCUGGAAGACUCGUGCUGGAAUCCUGAGCUGCCUUGUAGUGGUACUAAAGCCACCAUGGUGUGAGGAAGCUCAACCUGCAAGGGGAGGCCCUGGGAUUACGGGAAGAGGUGCACGAGCUCUAACCAUAUUGCCUUUCUAAUGAAAUGAAAGACCCUGAGUGAGAGCCACCCAGAUGAGCCCUUACCAGAUUCCUGACCCGCAGUUCAUAGGAGCUAAUACAAGGAUUGUGGCUGUUCUAGGCCACUAAUUUUGGAGUGGUUUGUGAUGCAGCAAUAGUGACUGGGAUGAAAUUCAAC